This 487-nucleotide small RNA is filed under the name Rattus norvegicus (Norway rat). RNAcentral describes it as "uncharacterized LOC103691459". The record is from RNAcentral. Lineage: Eukaryota; Metazoa; Chordata; Mammalia; Rodentia; Muridae.
ACCAGCACAUCCCAGUUCAGCAUGAGUAAGCUGUCACUCUAACCAUGGUGAAGAUGCCUUACACAUGAGUCGCAUUGAUUGGACCACCAAGAUUUUAGUGUCGUUGACUCUUCCACCUGGCUGCUGGGCCUCAGGGUGGCUGAAAAAGCUGUGUCCCAACAAGCAAAGGCAUCUUCCUUUCAGACAGGCAGCACGAGGUGGAUAAGCUUCUUGUGCCACACAGCCCUGCUGGGAUGCCCUUCCAUACAAAAGAGAUGUGGCAGCCAACUGCAACGGAAAGACUAUGUAUAAAGAGGGUCUAAACCUUUCUUCUUACUAAGUUGACUGCCCUGGGAAUUUGCUAUGGCAACAAAAAGCUGACAGUGCGGCUGGCAACAAAAACUAGAAGCUUCUUCCCCUGAGCAGAUAUUUCAAAAAACAUCUCCAAGUUUUCUCACUUUAACCUGUUGUGAGCUGCAGAUUUGUCAUACAUCACCUAUUAUGUUGA